RNAcentral lists this unclassified non-coding RNA (305 nucleotides) under plant metagenome. RNAcentral describes it as "partial contains 5.8S ribosomal RNA, internal transcribed spacer 2, and large subunit ribosomal RNA". The stretch from base 1 to 105 matches the Rfam family "5.8S ribosomal RNA", at positions 50 to 154 of the family's 154-position model. The record is from RNAcentral.
GAAAUGCGAUAAGUAGUGUGAAUUGCAGAAUUCAGUGAAUCAUCGAAUCUUUGAACGCACAUUGCGCCCUUUGGUAUUCCAAAGGGUAUGCCUGUUCGAGCGUCAUUUGUACCCUCAAGCUUUGCUUGGUGUUGGGCGUCUUGUCUCCAGUUCGCUGGAGACUCGCCUUAAAGUAAUUGGCAGCCGGCCUACUGGUUUCGGAGCGCAGCACAAGUCGCGCUCUCUUCCAGCCAAGGUCAGCAUCCACAAAGCCUUUUUUCAACUUUUGACCUCGGAUCAGGUAGGGAUACCCGCUGAACUUAAGC